Molecule: ribosomal RNA, 253 nt
Filed under: uncultured bacterium
Lineage: Bacteria
Description: partial 16S ribosomal RNA
Rfam family: Bacterial small subunit ribosomal RNA
Source: RNAcentral
UACGUAGGGGGCGAGCGUUGUCCGGAUUCAUUGGGCGUAAAGAGCGUGUAGGCGGCCCGGUAAGUCCGCUGUGAAAGUCAAAGGCUCAACCUUUGAAUGUCAGCGGAUACUGCCGGGCUAGAGUCCGGAAGAGGCGAGUGGAACUCCUGGUGUAGCGGUGGAAUGCGCAGAUAUCAGGAAGAACACCAACGGCGAAGGCAGCUCGCUGGGACGGUACUGACGCUGAGACGCGAAAGCGUGGGGAGCGAACAGG